This 203-nucleotide long non-coding RNA is filed under the name Elaeis guineensis (African oil palm). Its description in RNAcentral is "long non-coding RNA (EGUI_LNC074655)". Lineage: Eukaryota; Viridiplantae; Streptophyta; Magnoliopsida; Arecales; Arecaceae. The record is from RNAcentral.
GAUUUCAUCUCGGAGCUGGAUGCACUCUUCUGUAUCGUGGCCGUGGUCACGAUGGUAGAGGCAGAACUUGUUGGGGUUGUGCUUCCCGGGGUGCGUGCGCAUUUUCUCUGGCCUUGGGAGCUGCUCUCUGACCUCCAUCAGCACCUGGGUUUUUGAUGUGUUGAGGGGGGCAUAGUUGCAGAAUCUUCCUAGAGGAGAACCCC